AGCGGGUAGCGGGAAUCGAACCCGCAUCGUUAGCUUGGAAGGCUAGGG
Molecule: transfer RNA, 48 nt
Filed under: Fagopyrum urophyllum
Lineage: Eukaryota; Viridiplantae; Streptophyta; Magnoliopsida; Caryophyllales; Polygonaceae
Also listed under: 4 other names
Description: tRNA-Gly
Source: RNAcentral